CUUUUACAGAAACCCAUGGGAGUUUUGCUGGUAUUUACUUUUGGCACUUUCUCCAUUGUUUUGUAUAUCUGCUGUACUAUCCUGGAAACUUGCCAAAGCUCUGGAGGCCCAGGAAAAGGAAAAGAAUCGUAAGGAUAAGAAGAAAGCAAACAUAAAUAAAGUGAAACGGGGAAAGGCUAACUGAUAGUAUUUGCCAGAAUACUAUUUCAUUUUCAUUCUUCAAGCCCUUAUCUUUCACACGAGGCUUUCGUCAGACAAGAUGCAGGUUGGGCUGAUGAUAAAUCUACUGGAGAUAUGUAUGGGAAUACUAUUUUUCUAUUAAUGAUUUCUAGUGUUAUUACCAAGUGUUGUUUUGUAGCAAUCCUUUCUCUGGGAUGUGAUUUUAUAAGAUACCAAUCAUGCAUUUUAUAAGUAGUACAUGAAAUUAGGAGAAUCACUUGUAGUCAUGGUACAGAAGUUCUGUUGCAAUGUUAGAUAUGUCUAAAAACUUGUGUAUGGUAUUAUUUCAACAAUUCAUUGAUUUUAAGGAGUAAAGAGCAAUGAUAUCAGAAUUGUCCAUCUUCAUUUCUUUUCCUCGCCUACUCAUCUCUAACCUUCAUUAUCUUGUACCGGUAAAUAAUAAAGCUAGUAGUAUUUCUAAAUGCACACAGUAUUUAGGGAAUGUUCAUAUGUCAUUCUGUCAUUAGUAGUGUCUAAGUAAAUUCCCUAAAUUAUUCAGUUGCCAUGAUUGCAAAAACUGUGUUUUGCAGUAUACAGUAAUAAAAUGUAUAACAUUAGUCUUCUAAAAUGGUCCUUUUUAGUAACAUAAUUUUCUUGAUACACACUAAGUUUUGUAGAAUGGGAGAUAUAAUUCUCCUUGACAUCUAUAACAUUUUGAAAUACAUAAUUGAGCUCUUAACAGCAUAAGUAAAUUUUGAGGACAUUGCCUUAAAAUGCUGAGGACAUUGCUUUGAAAUGCCACAUGGGAUUGAUUCUGUUAAGAUGCUGUUUAAACUAGUAGUAAACAUUAGUAUGAAAGGAUAUGCAUUGUAUAUAUUUAAGCACAAAUUUUCCUGAAUGUUAUCCUUCCUUAGCAUUUUAUUAAGUUUAAAAACAUUUUUGUUGGUUACUUUCUACAUAUACUGACUUGCUGAAUAAUUAAUUUUAGGCUUAGUUUUGCAUUAAAGCACAUUGCCCCUCACCUUUGAACAUCAAAUGUCACAUUUUAUGGGUGCUGGUACUGAUCAUGAGUACUUGACAAGUACAAAUGAUCAUUCCUCAUCUAAAAGUACAUUUAUUUACCGCUGUAUUUAACACUGCAAACAAAAUGGUUAUUAAUGAAAACAGUACUUUCACUCUGGUUAUGGAUAAGUUUAUACAUACUGUUCCCACUAAGAUUUUGAAUAAACAAUUGGAUAAAAUUACUUGGGAAUACUUGCACAUUACAGGAAUGUUUAAAAGACUACAGCCUAGACAAUAUUCCAAUAGUGUUUGUUUUAUAGUGAUAGCAGAAAAUUAGUUUCUACCAUCUUUCCAGUGUGAUGUAUUUAUUGCUGGACUGUGAGCUUAUCUAAUCUUCCAUUAUGUUAAUUUUAUAAGCUAUGUUGUAAUAAUUGGCAAAAUUUAGAAAUUGCCUUCGGAGUUCAAUUUUCCUGCAAGAGAUAGUCAUAAAUAUAUUAUAUGUAUAUUAUAUAGGAUUAUGUUGAGUACUUUGAUAUUCAUGAACAGGAAACUGGAAUGUAUGGGGGUUUUCUUAUUACUGGCAUGUAAAUAAUGAUUAGGAAUUUUUUUUCCAAAUUUAACAUUGAACUAAAUGGCAGGAUGAAAUAACUUAUGUCAAUAACAAAUAACCACUUUACACCUUGAGCCUCUUGAUAAUAGUUACUUGAACUGUGUGUGACAUUAAUAAACUGAAUCUUAAACCAUUGAAGUUGUAAACCUGUAAUGAUUAAAGGAGUCUGGUAAAACUAAUAUUGUGAGUCACAAUUUGUAACCAAUUAAGUUACAGCAUAAACUUGAAAAAUAUGUACGAUACUGUCUUUUGUGUGGUACUACAACUAGAAAUAAAUGGUUAAGAAGAUUGCAUGUUCAGUAAUGAUAUCUGAAGUUAAAGCUUUUAUUACUGAUAAUGCAUAUGAAGGUAAAUUGAAUAACAGAAAUUUAAGACCAGCUGAAGUUUUUGCUAUUUCAGCAUCAGGCAUAAAGAAAAGCAAUGCAAGUCUCUGUUCCAACUGUUCCAUUUUGAACUUCAGACUAUGAUGGCAAGAGCAUGAAAUGUCCGUUGUUGUCCUACAAACAAAUUUCAAGGCCUGUGUGAGGUUGUUGUUUGCCUAUGUUGUGACUGGUAAUAUGACAGCAACUUUUAAAUUUUUUAGUACUGUAAGUAAAUCUUUUCAUUCUUCUAUAUUUGAUUUGAAAGAAUAUGUAUGAAAUUUGUAAUACAGGCAUCCUUCGGUUACUGUCUCCAUCGGUUAGUGGCAUUUCAGUUUUACGGCACUUGUUAAAUAUGUUUAUAACUGGGUUUUACAUUCCGUAGGGUUUAUAGUGCUGUUGUCUGGUUAUCGGUGUCUUAGGCUAGGUGCUGAGACCGCCUCAUAAAAUGCAAACAUAACGAGAUGCAUCUUUUCCUCUGCUCUUUUAAAAAGUUAUCCUUUACUUCGCUUUAUCUUGCAAUAUUGUAUGUGGUCUUGUAUUACUAUUUAUGUUAUAAAAUACAAACAAACCGAUCAUGUUUUGGUUGGGAAAAAUCAGCUGAGGGCAGAGGUAAGAUUAUUUCGCCAUAUUUAACUCAGUUCAGAGCGAUUUUCUUGCUUCUAUUUAGCGUAAAUUAAUCUUUAGAAACUCAUGCAUAUGUGACAAGGUUAAUUUUUCUUUUUAUGAAGAGUUUUUAAGUUGAAAAUUUAAGUAAAUAGGUGAACUAGACUUGGUUAUUUUUUUCGUUAAUAGACAGCGCUGUUGUCUGGUUAUCGGUACAUAUUUCGGUACAUGCCAAAGCACCAAGAGACCCUCCUAAAAUACAAACAUAACGAAUAUGCAUCUAUUCCUUGGCUCUUUUAAAAAGUUAUGCUUUACUUCACUGUAUCCAAUAAUAGUGUAUGUAGUCUCAUAUUACUACAUAUAGUAGUAUUAUAAAAUACAAACAAAGAGAUCCAUGUUUUGCUUUGGAAAAAUCAGCAGAGAGCAGAGGCAGGGUUAUUUCGCCCUACUUAACUCUAUUUUCUUGCUUCUAUUUAGCGUAAACAGGUUAUUUUUUGUUAUAUGAAGUGCUUAUAAGUUGAAAUAUGACUGAAAUAUGUACGUCUUGUUAUGAACAUGAUUGGUAUUUUUUUCGUUAAUAGAUGGUGUUGGGAGCAUGUUAUUUUGUGUAAAAAACUGAUUACAUUCGUUAUUUUCAUCCUAUAUCAUAAUAAUACGUUAUUUACGUAUUGUUAACAACAGUAAAAUAUGUUCUUUCAUGGCGAGUUAUUUUAUUAAAGUACAUUUUCUCCACUAUUAUUUGCGGUCGAGUUUCAUCAUGUUACUGAUGCACGGUAAUUUAUAGUCAUUAGCAGUGUGAAUGAACAUUGUUUUCUCAGCUUCAGCUACAAAUGCAGCUUAAAUUUAGCAGUAUGUACUCUAUACUAUAUUUCCAUGCCGUUAUUUUCUCCAUAGCGAAUAAAUGUAUGAUGUAAAAAUAUAUCAGUUCUAUUCUACUUAAUUAAUGUCAUUUGUAACAAAACUACAGUAAUUUGUUACUAUCAUAUGAUGGCUAAAAUGAAAGCAAAAUGUUAUCAGAUUUGGUUCGGUUGUUGUAGCAAAACAACUGUUAUCUUUCAGUUGGUUAUGGGUGCAGCAUUUAAGCAACAUUUAUAACAGUACUAACGAUGCUUUUAUCAUUCUCAUUUGCUUUUUUAGUUGAUUUAACUAGAAGAUAUGAUAAAUAAAGAGAUGGAGGAUACAUUAGCGCGCUCUCUCUCUCUCUCUGCAAAGAUUUACCAACAAGUUUAUUGAAUCUGACAUUAAAAAUUUGUAGAACUACCAGGCAGACCAUUGUAAAUGAUUAUCCAAAAGAAAUUCCACGUUUUCAUUAAAGAGUUAUUGCAUAUUAGGGCAAAAUAUCUGGCUGUGACACUGUCUAAGGCAUAGUCAACAAGUCUCAGGGCACCGUAAGGUGGAUUGUGAUGCCCGUAGACUUUUGAAUUUCGGUUAGAGGUGAAUUUCACUUAGCCCCAGGCCACCAGGAACAGAACCAUUGCCGUUAACCGGGGGCUGCCUGUAUACUGUCUGUGGUGCAUCUUAAAGCUGUUUAUAGUGAAUUUUAAAAAUGUUUCUCUUUAUGCUAUCUGAAAGAUUCAAAUAAUAUCUGUUUAAUGAAAUUCAUUGCUACUCUUACUUGAAUUAGGUUGUUUUAGGUUACUAGAGUUGCUGUAACACGCAUUCAUUUAAGACCUGUGUUCUGUGAUAAAAUUUACUGUUGCGAUAUCUUAAGUUAAAGUGUUUAUUGCUGGAUGGUAAUUGACGUGUAUGACCAGAAUGGUAGUUAAAAAUAUUUUUUUGCUUACAAAAGUGCUUGACAUCUUGAAUAUAGAAGUACCAAAGAAUAAAAUUUUAAAGUGAAAUUGUUA
Long non-coding RNA from Macrobrachium nipponense, 4583 nucleotides. RefSeq lists it as uncharacterized. The transcript has 2 exons. The record is from RefSeq and is a predicted model, not a curated record. Lineage: Eukaryota; Metazoa; Arthropoda; Malacostraca; Decapoda; Palaemonidae.